AUUGAACGCUGGCGGCAUGCCUUACACAUGCAAGUCGAACGGCAGCAUGAUCUACUUUGCUAGAUUGCUGGCGCGUGGCGAACGGGUGUGAAAUACAUCGGAACGUGCUCUGUAGCUGGGGAUAACUCGUCGAAAGAGUAGCUAAUACCGCAAAUGACCUGAGCGUGAAGGUGGGGUACUGCAAGGCGUCUUUGCUUUGGAUCGUCCGUUGUCCGAUUAGCUAGUUGGUGAGGUAAAGGCUCACCAAGGCGACGAUCAGUAGCUGGUCUGAGAGGAUGAUCAGCCACACUGGGACUGAGACACGGCCCAGACUCCUACGGGAGGCAGCAGUGGGGAAUUUUGGACAAUGGGCGAAAGCCUGAUCCAGCAAUGCCGCGUGUGUGAAGAAGGCCUUCGGGUUGUAAAGCACUGUUGUCAGGAAAGAAAUGACUCGGGUGAAUACCUGGGGUCGAUGACGGUACCGGAAGAAUAAGCACCGGCUAACUACGUG
RNAcentral lists this ribosomal RNA (490 nucleotides) under uncultured bacterium. RNAcentral describes it as "partial 16S ribosomal RNA". It matches the Rfam family "Bacterial small subunit ribosomal RNA", at positions 30 to 507 of the family's 1533-position model. The record is from RNAcentral.